This 75-nucleotide transfer RNA is filed under the name Nanobdellota archaeon. RNAcentral's name for it is "tRNA-Arg". It matches the Rfam family "tRNA". Rfam says of the family: Transfer RNA (tRNA) molecules are approximately 80 nucleotides in length. Their secondary structure includes four short double-helical elements and three loops (D, anti-codon, and T loops). The record is from RNAcentral. Lineage: Archaea; Nanobdellati; Nanobdellota.
GAGCCUGUAACUCAGCUUGGAUAGAGUGCCAGCCUUCUAAGCUGGAAGUCGCCGGUUCAAAUCCGGCCAGGCUCG